UGGGGGAUAUUGCACAAUGGGCGAAAGCCUGAUGCAGCGACGCCGCGUGGGGGAUGAAGGCCUUCGGGUUGUAAACUACUUUUGCUCUGAACAAGGCAUGCUAAUGGGUGUGUUGAGUGUAGGGGUUGAUUAGCGCCGGCUAACUACGUGCCAGCAGCCGCGGUAAUACGUAGGGCGCGAGCGUUGUCCGGAAUUAUUGGGCGUAAAGGGCUUGUAGGUGGCUGGUUGCGUCUGUCGUGAAAGCUCAUGGCUUAACUGUGGGUUUGCGGUGGGUACGGGCUGGCUUGAGUGCAGUAGGGGAGGCUGGAAUUCCUGGUGUAGCGGUGGAAUGCGCAGAUAUCAGGAGGAAUACCGGUGGCGAAGGCGGGUCUCUGGGCUGUUACUGACACUGAGGAGCGAAAGAAUGGGGAGCGAACAGG
RNAcentral lists this ribosomal RNA (419 nucleotides) under bacterium. RNAcentral describes it as "partial 16S ribosomal RNA". It matches the Rfam family "Bacterial small subunit ribosomal RNA", at positions 355 to 776 of the family's 1533-position model. The record is from RNAcentral.